This 495-nucleotide ribosomal RNA is filed under the name uncultured bacterium. RNAcentral describes it as "partial 16S ribosomal RNA". It matches the Rfam family "Bacterial small subunit ribosomal RNA", at positions 28 to 507 of the family's 1533-position model. The record is from RNAcentral.
GACGAACGCUGGCGGCGUGCCUAAUACAUGCAAGUAGAACGCUGAAGGAGGAGCUUGCUUCUCUGGAUGAGUUGCGAACGGGUGAGUAACGCGUAGGUAACCUGCCUGGUAGCGGGGGAUAACUAUUGGAAACGAUAGCUAAUACCGCAUAAUAUUGACUAUUGCAUGAUAGUCAGUUGAAAGGUGCAACUGCACCACUACCAGAUGGACCUGCGUUGUAUUAGCUAGUUGGUGGGGUAACGGCUCACCAAGGCGACGAUACAUAGCCGACCUGAGAGGGUGAUCGGCCACACUGGGACUGAGACACGGCCCAGACUCCUACGGGAGGCAGCAGUAGGGAAUCUUCGGCAAUGGACGGAAGUCUGACCGAGCAACGCCGCGUGAGGGAAGAAGGGUUUCGGAUCGUAAAGCUCUGUUGUAAGAGAAGAACGAGUGUGAGAGUGGAAAGCUCACACUGUGACGGUAUCUUACCAGAAAGGGACGGCUAACUACGUG